This 148-nucleotide non-coding RNA is filed under the name bovine gut metagenome. The record is from RNAcentral.
GGGAGGAAGCGGAGCAGCAAAACGCAGGAGCCUGCGAACAGAAACCUGAUCAGGCUAAAUGGUGGAUAAGGCUGCGUAACAAGCCGAAGUCCGAAAGGUAAACGUAAAACCAGGCGAGUAAAUCAAUAGGUUGUCGAGCGAAAGAUUU